RNAcentral lists this ribosomal RNA (2789 nucleotides) under Escherichia coli. RNAcentral describes it as "bacterial LSU rRNA". It matches the Rfam family "Bacterial large subunit ribosomal RNA". The record is from RNAcentral. Lineage: Bacteria; Pseudomonadati; Pseudomonadota; Gammaproteobacteria; Enterobacterales; Enterobacteriaceae.
AGCGUACACGGUGGAUGCCCUGGCAGUCAGAGGCGAUGAAGGACGUGCUAAUCUGCGAUAAGCGUCGGUAAGGUGAUAUGAACCGUUAUAACCGGCGAUUUCCGAAUGGGGAAACCCAGUGUGAUUCGUCACACUAUCAUUAACUGAAUCCAUAGGUUAAUGAGGCGAACCGGGGGAACUGAAACAUCUAAGUACCCCGAGGAAAAGAAAUCAACCGAGAUUCCCCCAGUAGCGGCGAGCGAACGGGGAGCAGCCCAGAGCCUGAAUCAGUGUGUGUGUUAGUGGAAGCGUCUGGAAAGGCGCGCGAUACAGGGUGACAGCCCCGUACACAAAAAUGCACAUGCUGUGAGCUCGAUGAGUAGGGCGGGACACGUGGUAUCCUGUCUGAAUAUGGGGGGACCAUCCUCCAAGGCUAAAUACUCCUGACUGACCGAUAGUGAACCAGUACCGUGAGGGAAAGGCGAAAAGAACCCCGGCGAGGGGAGUGAAAAAGAACCUGAAACCGUGUACGUACAAGCAGUGGGAGCACAGAGCAAUCUGUGUGACUGCGUACCUUUUGUAUAAUGGGUCAGCGACUUAUAUUCUGUAGCAAGGUUAACCGAAUAGGGGAGCCGAAGGGAAACCGAGUCUUAACUGGGCGUUAAGUUGCAGGGUAUAGACCCGAAACCCGGUGAUCUAGCCAUGGGCAGGUUGAAGGUUGGGUAACACUAACUGGAGGACCGAACCGACUAAUGUUGAAAAAUUAGCGGAUGACUUGUGGCUGGGGGUGAAAGGCCAAUCAAACCGGGAGAUAGCUGGUUCUCCCCGAAAGCUAUUUAGGUAGCGCCUCGUGAAUUCAUCUCCGGGGGUAGAGCACUGUUUCGGCAAGGGGGUCAUCCCGACUUACCAACCCGAUGCAAACUGCGAAUACCGGAGAAUGUUAUCACGGGAGACACACGGCGGGUGCUAACGUCCGUCGUGAAGAGGGAAACAACCCAGACCGCCAGCUAAGGUCCCAAAGUCAUGGUUAAGUGGGAAACGAUGUGGGAAGGCCCAGACAGCCAGGAUGUUGGCUUAGAAGCAGCCAUCAUUUAAAGAAAGCGUAAUAGCUCACUGGUCGAGUCGGCCUGCGCGGAAGAUGUAACGGGGCUAAACCAUGCACCGAAGCUGCGGCAGCGACGCUNNNNNNNNNNNNNNNNNNNNNNNNNNNNNNNNNNNNNNNNNNNNNNNNNNNNNNNCAUGCUGGAGGUAUCAGAAGUGCGAAUGCUGACAUAAGUAACGAUAAAGCGGGUGAAAAGCCCGCUCGCCGGAAGACCAAGGGUUCCUGUCCAACGUUAAUCGGGGCAGGGUGAGUCGACCCCUAAGGCGAGGCCGAAAGGCGUAGUCGAUGGGAAACAGGUUAAUAUUCCUGUACUUGGUGUUACUGCGAAGGGGGGACGGAGAAGGCUAUGUUGGCCGGGCGACGGUUGUCCCGGUUUAAGCGUGUAGGCUGGUUUUCCAGGCAAAUCCGGAAAAUCAAGGCUGAGGCGUGAUGACGAGGCACUACGGUGCUGAAGCAACAAAUGCCCUGCUUCCAGGAAAAGCCUCUAAGCAUCAGGUAACAUCAAAUCGUACCCCAAACCGACACAGGUGGUCAGGUAGAGAAUACCAAGGCGCUUGAGAGAACUCGGGUGAAGGAACUAGGCAAAAUGGUGCCGUAACUUCGGGAGAAGGCACGCUGAUAUGUAGGUGAAGUCCCUCGCGGAUGGAGCUGAAAUCAGUCGAAGAUACCAGCUGGCUGCAACUGUUUAUUAAAAACACAGCACUGUGCAAACACGAAAGUGGACGUAUACGGUGUGACGCCUGCCCGGUGCCGGAAGGUUAAUUGAUGGGGUUAGCGCAAGCGAAGCUCUUGAUCGAAGCCCCGGUAAACGGCGGCCGUAACUAUAACGGUCCUAAGGUAGCGAAAUUCCUUGUCGGGUAAGUUCCGACCUGCACGAAUGGCGUAAUGAUGGCCAGGCUGUCUCCACCCGAGACUCAGUGAAAUUGAACUCGCUGUGAAGAUGCAGUGUACCCGCGGCAAGACGGAAAGACCCCGUGAACCUUUACUAUAGCUUGACACUGAACAUUGAGCCUUGAUGUGUAGGAUAGGUGGGAGGCUUUGAAGUGUGGACGCCAGUCUGCAUGGAGCCGACCUUGAAAUACCACCCUUUAAUGUUUGAUGUUCUAACGUUGACCCGUGAUCCGGGUUGCGGACAGUGUCUGGUGGGUAGUUUGACUGGGGCGGUCUCCUCCUAAAGAGUAACGGAGGAGCACGAAGGUUGGCUAAUCCUGGUCGGACAUCAGGAGGUUAGUGCAAUGGCAUAAGCCAGCUUGACUGCGAGCGUGACGGCGCGAGCAGGUGCGAAAGCAGGUCAUAGUGAUCCGGUGGUUCUGAAUGGAAGGGCCAUCGCUCAACGGAUAAAAGGUACUCCGGGGAUAACAGGCUGAUACCGCCCAAGAGUUCAUAUCGACGGCGGUGUUUGGCACCUCGAUGUCGGCUCAUCACAUCCUGGGGCUGAAGUAGGUCCCAAGGGUAUGGCUGUUCGCCAUUUAAAGUGGUACGCGAGCUGGGUUUAGAACGUCGUGAGACAGUUCGGUCCCUAUCUGCCGUGGGCGCUGGAGAACUGAGGGGGGCUGCUCCUAGUACGAGAGGACCGGAGUGGACGCAUCACUGGUGUUCGGGUUGUCAUGCCAAUGGCACUGCCCGGUAGCUAAAUGCGGAAGAGAUAAGUGCUGAAAGCAUCUAAGCACGAAACUUGCCCCGAGAUGAGUUCUCCCUGACUCCUUGA